Long non-coding RNA from Dicentrarchus labrax (European seabass), 534 nucleotides. RefSeq lists it as uncharacterized. The transcript is spliced from 2 exons. Lineage: Eukaryota; Metazoa; Chordata; Actinopteri; Moronidae. The record is from RefSeq and is a predicted model, not a curated record.
AGAGUGCUGCACUGCAUCGCUGGAUCAAAGCAAGACUAAUGACUACAGCAGAGAUGUAGCUACAGCACCGAGGCACCAAGUGCUCCCGCUCACAAUGCAGAGCUGUAGUUAAACCACAAGUGGACUAAAGAAAAACUGUGCAGGUGUAGAUAUGACAGGGAGCAUAUACUGUGCACUUAAAGGAGAGUGAAGAAGCUGAAGAUACCAGGAGGCCUUUGAAAAUGUCCUCCACGCUACCCGUGGCUACAAAGACGUUGGAUGUCCUAAGAAUAACAACAAAGAGGCCUGUGAUCGAUUCAUGGCAUUUUGUAUCAGCGCAGACUCUCUUCAGCUAAAAUUAGCUCCUCACAUCAUUUGCUGACUAAAUACCUUGCAAACAAUGUGAUGUGAGGGGAAAAAAGGCUGGAUGAACAUUUGAAAAACACCUCUCGCAUAUUUUCAGUUGCUUCGUCCACACUUGAUGGCAACAAAAUGGACAUUUUUAGUCAUUUCUAAGUAAUUUCAAAUAAUAAAUAAUAAAAAAAGGUGCAGUAA